RNAcentral lists this ribosomal RNA (253 nucleotides) under uncultured bacterium. RNAcentral's name for it is "partial 16S ribosomal RNA". It matches the Rfam family "Bacterial small subunit ribosomal RNA", at positions 524 to 776 of the family's 1533-position model. The record is from RNAcentral.
UACGAAGGGGGCUAGCGUUGCUCGGAUUUACUGGGCGUAAAGGGCGCGUAGGCGGACAGUUAAGUUGGGGGUGAAAGCCCGGGGCUCAACCUCGGAAUUGCCUUCAAUACUGGCUGUCUUGAGUGUGAGAGAGGUGUGUGGAACUCCGAGUGUAGAGGUGAAAUUCGUAGAUAUUCGGAAGAACACCAGUGGCGAAGGCGACACGCUGGCUCACUACUGACGCUGAGGCGCGAAAGCGUGGGGAGCAAACAGG